AGAGUUUGAUCCUGGCUCAGAAUGAACGUUGGCGGCGUGGAUUAGGCAUGCAAGUCGUGCGACAAGUUUCCCUUCGGGGAAAUGGAGGAGCGGCGCAAGGGAGAGUAACGCGUGGAUACCUGCCCCGAGGUCCGGGAUAGCCCAUCGAAAGGUGGGGUAAUACCGGAUAACAUCUCCGGAUCAAAGGUGUGAUUCCGCCUCGGGAUGGGUCCGCGUCCUAUUAGCUUGUUGGUGGGGUAAUGGCCUACCAAGGCAACGAUGGGUAGUGGGCGUUAGCGCGUGGCCCGCCUCACUGGGACUGAGACACUGCCCAGACACCUACGGGUGGCUGCAGUCGAGAAUCUUCGGCAAUGGGCGCAAGCCUGACCGAGCGACGCCGCGUGCGGGAUGAAGGCCUUCGGGUUGUAAACCGCUGUCAGAGGGGAGGAAGGGUCCGUGAAGAGCGGAACUUGACCUAUCCUCAGAGGAAGUGCGGGCUAAGUUCGUGCCAGCAGCCGCGGUAAGACGAACCGCACAAACGUUAUUCGGAAUCACUGGGCUUAAAGGGUGCGUAGGCGGCCGUUCAAGUCGGGUGUGAAAGCCCUCAGCUUAACUGAGGAAUUGCGCCCGAUACUGUUCGGCUUGAGGGAGACAGAGGUGAGCGGAACUUGCGGUGGAGCGGUGAAAUGCGUUGAUAUCGCAAGGAACACCAGUAGCGAAAGCGGCUCACUGGGUCUCUUCUGACGCUGAGGCACGAAAGCUAGGGUAGCGAAGAGGAUUAGAUACCCUCGUAGUCCUAGCUGUAAACGCUGAGCACUGGAUUGGAGGGUCCUCCAUAGCCCUUCCGGUCGUAGCGAAAGUGUUAAGUGCUCCGCCUGGGGGAGU
This 864-nucleotide ribosomal RNA is filed under the name uncultured organism. Its description in RNAcentral is "bacterial SSU rRNA". It matches the Rfam family "Bacterial small subunit ribosomal RNA", at positions 9 to 873 of the family's 1533-position model. The record is from RNAcentral.